This 484-nucleotide ribosomal RNA is filed under the name uncultured bacterium. Its description in RNAcentral is "partial 16S ribosomal RNA". It matches the Rfam family "Bacterial small subunit ribosomal RNA", at positions 30 to 505 of the family's 1533-position model. The record is from RNAcentral.
AUUGAACGCUGGCGGCAUGCCUUACACAUGCAAGUCGAACGGCAGCACGGGUGCUUGCACCUGGUGGCGAGUGGCGAACGGGUGAGUAAUACAUCGGAACAUGUCCUGUAGUGGGGGAUAGCCCGGCGAAAGCCGGAUUAAUACCGCAUACGAUCUACGGAUGAAAGCGGGGGACCUUCGGGCCUCGCGCUAUAGGGUUGGCCGAUGGCUGAUUAGCUAGUUGGUGGGGUAAAGGCCUACCAAGGCGACGAUCAGUAGCUGGUCUGAGAGGACGACCAGCCACACUGGGACUGAGACACGGCCCAGACUCCUACGGGAGGCAGCAGUGGGGAAUUUUGGACAAUGGGCGAAAGCCUGAUCCAGCAAUGCCGCGUGUGUGAAGAAGGCCUUCGGGUUGCAAAGCACUUUUGUCCGGAAAGAAAUCCUUGGCCCUAAUACGGUCGGGGGAUGACGGUACCGGAAGAAUAAGCACCGGCUAACUACG